Molecule: ribosomal RNA, 127 nt
Filed under: Ascomycota sp. A22
Lineage: Eukaryota; Fungi; Ascomycota
Description: partial 5.8S ribosomal RNA
Rfam family: 5.8S ribosomal RNA
About the family: 5.8S ribosomal RNA (5.8S rRNA) is a component of the large subunit of the eukaryotic ribosome. It is transcribed by RNA polymerase I as part of the 45S precursor that also contains 18S and 28S rRNA.
Source: RNAcentral
GCAUCGAUGAAAAACGCAGCGAAAUGCGAUAAGUAAUGUGAAUUGCAGAAUUCAGUGAAUCAUCGAAUCUUUGAACGCACAUUGCGCCCAUUAGUAUUCUAGUGGGCAUGCCUGUUCGAGCGUCAUU